This is a long non-coding RNA of Macrobrachium nipponense, 1405 nucleotides long. RefSeq lists it as uncharacterized. The record is from RefSeq and is a predicted model, not a curated record. The transcript is spliced from 2 exons. NCBI's taxonomy places the organism in Eukaryota, Metazoa, Arthropoda, Malacostraca, Decapoda, Palaemonidae.
AUAAAAGACUUUGCACUUGGAAACUUCUGCCUAUAUAUAUAGGUAAUAAGUGGAUGCCAUAAAUACGGUUAUUAUACUAAAAUACAGAUAACAAGAUAAGCAAAUGCGUUUUAUCUCGUCGAUUCUUGUGAUAAUCUGGAGAAAAGCUUCCCCAGUGACGUCGAGAGGAGUCUACUGCAUGACAACUCAGCCUAGCAGUGUUGCUUAUUACGUUGCCGGUGGUGAAAGUCUUCGGUGUGGUCCGGGAUUUGAGUUUUGCUAUGUUCCCGGAUUAUUUUUAGACGGUUUACGUUCACUUUUGUUCGAACCUGAGUCCAUAAGAUGGCGAUGGUCAGCAGACGAUGGCACCAGAGGGAACAUCAUUUGGGAUUGUUUUCUGACCAGCAAAGGGAAGAUGGCAGACUUCAGAGAGACAUUGAGAGUGGGGAGACACUGGGCAACCCCGUGGUUAUUCUUAGGAAAGUGUCUCCCAAAAACCGUAGUAUAAAUGCUGAUCGCCAUUCCAUGUAUGAGAGAAGGAUCCCAACGCCUCUCGUUCAAGAGUACCGUCUCCACAGACAUUUCCGAAUCAAGGAAGCUUUGCGUUUGGCUGAGCUGUACAGUCACGUCACCAAAGGCCCGGAAAACUUUGGCAAGAAGGGCAGGGGAAGCGCGAAAAAAACGAAAAAAAUUCCUCUGGCUUCUGCGGGAGCGUCCAGGAAUAAUAACCCCAAUUCACUGCCGGGACCCGAAGAGGAGGAGGAGGAGGAGGGGGACUUCGAUAGACGGCAGCGUCAAAAACCCGACGGCGAGAUCCUGGUCAACAUUUGGGAGGAAUUCAGAUACGGGUCUUCGGUGCUGAAUGAGAAAAGCUCCACCCCAAUCACUCACGGAGGCUGCGAAUGGGCCAGGCCGUUCUUGGCCAGUCUGCUGCCGAAGCCUGUCGUCGAUGUCAUCUUGUACGUUCUGUUCUUCUCCGUGUAUUUCGUGUCGUGCUGCCUCUAUAACGACUACCUUGAGUUAGGGUGCUAUUUGCUUUACGACCUGCAUCUGAGGAUACACGAAAAUGCCGAGAAACAUUACGUUAAAGUGAAGUUCAUAGGGUCGCCGUUUCAGGGUCCAAUGUACUGCAUUAUCCGGAUGGUGUGCCAACACUGUCACCACUACGAGAGUAACAAAGUCGUCCUCAGACUAAUGAAGAAGAUGAAGAGAGAUGUCGUUGAAGCUUAUUCGUCCAAGUGAAAUGCAAAUCUACGUGUAUAGUUUACCUGAUAUUCAUAUACAAACGAACAGAUAUUUAUGUAUGUAUAACUGAUGAAGAGAGUUUCAAUUCAGUGGUUUUGUUAAGAUUAGUCAUGGAGGUUUUAUUAAUGUUUGACGAUGCUAUAAACCCUUUUGUUUUAUAAAUUGAAAAAAAAUUUAUAAA